Long non-coding RNA from Canis lupus familiaris (dog), 731 nucleotides. RefSeq lists it as uncharacterized. Lineage: Eukaryota; Metazoa; Chordata; Mammalia; Carnivora; Canidae. The transcript has 3 exons. The record is from RefSeq and is a predicted model, not a curated record.
CAUCUGUCUACAGAGCGAAAUGGUCACCACGUCGUGACAUUGAAGAAUACAAUAGCUACUUGUGCAAUUUGGUGUCACUUCCUUGAUUUGCUACACUGACCUUUGGUACAAAUGUCAACACAGUGAAAAAGAUUUUAUUUAUUUACUCAUGAGAAACACAGAGAGAGAGGCAGAGACACAGGCAGAGGGAGAAGCAGGCUCUCUGCGGGAAGCCGGAUGCAAGACUUGAUCCCAGGACCCCAGGAUCACAACCUGAGCCGAAGGCAGAUGCUCAACUACUGGACCACCCAGGCGCCGCCCCCCCCAUGAUUUCCUUUCUGAGUCCCUGAUUCUCUGAUAUUCCAACUAUAUAACUAGGUGCCCCCAAAUCAUCCCAAAUUCAACAAGUCAAAAAAUAACCUUCUCCCUAAAACCAUUUCCCAGGUCAUUUGACAUCAUUACCUUGCCCCUACUUGCUUAAGCUAGAAACCUGGAAUGGGUUAUCUUGAACAUUUCCCACAAGCCUUCAUCCAAAAUUCUAAAACCAGAAAGCUCCGAAAACCAAAACUGAUUCUGUAAGGUGGCAUCAGAACUCAUUUGGCAACAAAAUGUAACUUGAAAGGUCAUGAGGCUCUUUGUGGUCUUUAUUUACCUCACCUGGUGAGAUUAUUUUAAUAUUUGGAGGCAGAAAUAUCAAUGUAUUUGAUCAUGGAGUGCUGUCCCAUCCCCAGUUGGAAGAGUUAAUAUUAAGA